Non-coding RNA from Saimiri boliviensis boliviensis (Bolivian squirrel monkey), 1496 nucleotides. The record is from RefSeq and is a predicted model, not a curated record. NCBI's taxonomy places the organism in Eukaryota, Metazoa, Chordata, Mammalia, Primates, Cebidae.
CUCCCGGCCCAGGACAGCACCGGGCCUGGCGGCUGGGCUCGAGCUCCGGGCACCGACUUGGGGCCGGCCGCGGGGAGGCGGGGAUCGGGCGACCGAGGCCGGGACCUCGGCACCCUUCCGCGGGAGUCGCCCGGAGAAAGUGCCCUCUUGGCCGCCGCCGGAGCCGCGCCGCGGGGGCCGCGAUGUUGUCCGCGCCGCGGGAGCCGCCGGAUCCGGAGCUGCAGCGGCGCGGGGAGCAGAAGCGGCGGCCGCACGACGCGCAGCAGCUGCAGCAGCUCCAGCACCUGGAGUCCUCGCAAGUUCAGCUGAGCCUGCUGCCCCCGCGUUCCACCCCUGCGUUCCCUGGGCCACUGCGUGGUGGAGAAACCCCGUUCUACUCAUCCUCUGCCAUGGAGAGGGGAGAGGACACCGGUCCUGUGGCGAGGCGGGGAAGGAGAGAAUGGGCGGCGGGGACUGGCCACUGCGCUGCCAGGCCUAUCCGUGCAGUGCUGUGCACCCUCUGUGGCGCCCCCCACACGGUGUUGGAACAGAUUGCACCCCUUCCCCCUGAGAGCCUGUUCAGUGUUGAGAAUUUAGGACAACCUCCUCCUGGGCUUAUCAAGGAAGAUGAGGCUAAGUCCAAAGACUGCAUACCAGAUGUACCAGGCAGUGAACACACCAGGGAAUUUCUGGCUCACGCACCAACUAAAGGACUUUAUAUGCCAAUGGGGAAAGAAGUCAGAGUUAUGCAGUGUGAGUGAUGGCAUUGCAAAUGGUAUGGUCACCGAACGAUGACAAUAAGGCAACCAAAAGUUAGAACAGUGCAGAGUAGCACAUGAAGAUCCCAUGUAUGACAUCAUAUGAGGCAAUAAAAGACUUAAAAAGGAUGUUAGGAUUCAGCAGUUAAAACAGUUACUGGAGGAUUCUACCUCGGAUGAAGAUGGGAGCAGCUCUAGUUCCUCUGAAGGUAAAGAGAAACACAAGAAAAAGAAGAGGAAAGAAAAGCAUAAGAAAAGGAAGAAGGAAAAGAGAAAGAAGAAAAAACGGAAGCACAAAUCUUCCAAGUCAAAUGAGAGUUCUGACUCAGAGUGACAAGAACAUGACUUGUUCAACAUUCUCUUCUCAAACACUGGCCAAGGAACAGAGGAAGAUGCAAUCAGAGAAAGGACCAGGAUAGAGACGCUGAGAGAAGAGGAUAUGUGAGUCACAGCAGUGCGUUCUCAUCUGCCUUCCAGUGAAGAUGUGACCCCAGGAGAGGGAGUGUCUCCUUCCAGGUGCUAGCUCUAGACAGUGGCUUAUUUUAGGCAGGAAAGUUUGUACGGUGUUGUCCUCCCUGCUGGUCACAUGCAUUUACGAUUCCUUUGAAAUGUCUUCCACAGGGUGGCAGGACUGAGGGAAUCUCUGAGGCAUGUCUUCCAGGCCCUGCCACAGUUUGUGCCCUCCACAAUGUGGACUCAGUUCCCGUGGAUGUCAGGCUGAAGUCUUCUCUGUUGUUGAGAAUAAUAAUAACUCAGCCG